UGGGGAUUAUGCAGCUCCGAAAUGAGUGUACUACAUGCAGCAGCUGGAUCGCCGGAAGAAGCGACACAAGUUAUUAUUUUUGAGACUUCUUCAUUCAACAAGCACAACUACCUGCAUUAAAGUACAGUCUCAAUACUGGUUAUAGUGUCGGUUUGGCGGAGUGUUUCGUUUAGUACCUUUUGUACAUCUGUACUAAAUUCCUCGACUUGUUUGCCAUGUGCCACUUUAAGUUUCUCCAUAGCACGUCCCUGUUUAACGCCGAUUUGCUAUAGGAAAAUAAAUUGUCGGGCGAACAACACUCGAAGGAUACUCAUAAAGCAGGCAAUAUGGCUUGAAGGACAAUGAAGAUGUCCCACUUCUACUACUCAGCACACACAGCGAGGUAAGGCAGAAAAAUGCCAAUAAAACAAAAAGAAAAUAUGCUUAAAGGUUCACAACGUUUAAUGAUGCUGGAGUGGGCGGUGUAAUGAAAGGAAAAAUAUUAGUGUUAGAAGUGAAAAUUAUAUUAAUAAAUAUUUAAAAAGCAAAAAAUAGUGAA
RNAcentral lists this long non-coding RNA (538 nucleotides) under Ceratitis capitata (Mediterranean fruit fly). Its description in RNAcentral is "uncharacterized LOC110118438, transcript variant X4". The record is from RNAcentral. Lineage: Eukaryota; Metazoa; Arthropoda; Insecta; Diptera; Tephritidae.